UCUCUUUUAAUAGAGUCUAAAGUUGGGUA
This 29-nucleotide non-coding RNA is filed under the name Rattus norvegicus (Norway rat). Lineage: Eukaryota; Metazoa; Chordata; Mammalia; Rodentia; Muridae. The record is from RNAcentral.